AACAUCGCGCACCUGCGGGAACCUGCGGAGGGAUCAUUACCGAGUUUACAACUCCCAAACCCCUGUGAACAUACCUAUACGUUGCCUCGGCGGAUCAGCCCGCGCCCCGUAAAAAGGGACGGCCCGCCCGAGGACCCCUAAACUCUGUUUUUAGUGGAACUUCUGAGUAAAACAAACAAAUAAAUCAAAACUUUUAGCAAUGGAUCU
This 207-nucleotide unclassified non-coding RNA is filed under the name soil metagenome. RNAcentral's name for it is "partial contains 5.8S ribosomal RNA, internal transcribed spacer 2, and large subunit ribosomal RNA". The record is from RNAcentral.